CCUCAAUGCCUACUCCCCUCGGCCACAGAUAAAGAGUGUAAUUUUCUCCUUGAGGAAUGUGACAUGAGUCAUCUGACAGGGCCCGAGUGAUCUGGUCACUCACUGCAAGUGCUCCAGCAGCCUCUUCCCAAUGCAGAAACUUCCUGGGAUUGCACAUUGGCAUUUGUUUGUGGUGAGGCUCAAGGAUGGAGCUGUGCUAUUUCUUACCUUAGGACAUAUGAAGCAAGCAUCUGUGGAAGCCAGGGUGACAGAGGUCAAGGUUUGGCUUCGAAUCUGCUUCAAGGACAAAGACUUAUAUGUCAUCUGAGCAAAUAUUAGGAACUGGUCACUGCUAUGUGUCACUCACAGCUCACAUCUGGGUGUUAAGAAAUCCACACCUGCAGCCAAGGCUGUCGUUCUGGCUGGGUAUGAAUGUGUCAUCGGCUAGAGGCUGCAGCCAAGUGCAGAAGUCCAGCCAGCCGCUAACCCAACACAGAAGAGUCGCUCUAAGUGCAAUGGCCACCCUCUUCCUCUCCUGUUCUCCUCCUUCAGAGGGGACCUUUCUAGGGGUCGUGCAGAUGAUCGUCUGGACAGCCUGAAUGAGAACUGUCUGCAGAAAACCAAGUGUGCUCGGCUGAAACCACCCUCUGCCCUGGCCCUUUACCAAGCAGGCUGGUCAGCCUAGCAAGGGCCCCAGCAUCCAGGCCUCACUUCUUCAGGCUGUCUCCUUGGAAAUGGUGGAGCAAAGUCACUGCAGGCUGGGUGCAUGCCCUCCCUACCCCGGGGCAUGCCAACGGGGUCAAUGACAACUGUUUCCAAUUAAGGGCUUUGCUAAAGAGAAGAGACUGUGUUCUGGAAACAAAACUCUCUUUUAAAAUGUUCGCUUCCUUCUGGACUCAAGAUAGGAAAUUUCUAUGUUCCCAACCAGAAAACGUAAAGGCAAAGGAAAAGCUGGAAAGUUCCUUUUCUAAACCUUCUUUAGAGGGGAGGAAACUGAGGCUCUUGGAAAGGCGGAAGUUGCACGUGGUCCUCACAGUCAACUGUGCCAGAAUAGGAGGCCAGGAACCACCUCUGUUGGAGGAGGACCCACCAGGCAUUCUUUCAAGAAAGCCAAGGUCCACAAUGCUGCCCUGAUCUCAGACUCAGUGCAGAAGCAGUAUGGAAAGGAUGAGAAGACAUGAGGAAACCCCAGACAACGGAGCCAGGAAUCUGUCUGCGGAAGAGAGACAUGCUGGAAGGGUCAAGCAGGUGGGCAGGUAUCAGAUGCCACAUGUCUGCGGUGGUGACCCUGCUGCCUAAUGCCAACCUUGCUUCUUGGCAGCGUCUGCUGGACUGUCAGAGGCAUAAUGCAGCCAGAGGGCAUACCCGAACCUGUUAGGCAUGGAACACCGAGUAAACAGCCCCUAGGAAUGUCUCUGACUUGAAUUUCAGCUCCUUUACUUGGGAGCAUCUGUCCUCUCUGGUUGUGGAAAAGAGGAAUCGGGGAUAGGGAAGGCUCAGCAUAUACUGCCCCUUGAUUAAAGGAGGCUGUGUGGUCUUGGGGGCAGUGGUCCUGGGGAUGUUUGGUGGGGGUACUGCAGGGACAGGUGAUGGGGAAAGGGGAAAAUGAGGGGAAGCCUAUUCCUGGCACCCCCACAUUUCCUGGCUCUCAGUUACUCAGCUGCUAUAUGCUAUCUGCUCCAAACAGUGCAAUUCUGCUUAAAUUUUGUUUCAAGUGAAGGUUCUGUGACUAAAACUUUUGAGAAGUUUUACCCUACACAUGGGGAUGUGUAGGAUGAGAGCAAGCAAGGUUUUGAGUUCAUACCUGCCAACAGCUUCUGAGUGACCUUCAUCAAAGCUGCUCAUCCUGAGAGCCAGACCUCGGUCAUUUCCACUACAAGGAAGCUUUGCCUGGGCUCUGUCCUCUCUUCCCACAUGGGAAGCGGGUCAGGACAACUGUCUAAGCAGAUAACCCUGUCUUGGAAAUGCUCUCAUCUUGAGGGCACUCAGACCAGCCCUCCAACCUGCCCCCCGUUCCUGUCCCUAAAGUCCUUCGUUAGAUGAGCUCAAAGGUGUGACACCAACUGGAAAGAUAAAAAGGAUGAUUAAAAAUCAAGGUAUUGGCUGGGCACGGUGGCCCACGCCUGUAAUUCCAGCAGUUUGGGAGGCCGAGGAGGGGGGAUCACCUCAGGUCAGGAGUUCGAGACCAGCCUGACCAACAUGGAGGAAACCCCAUCUCUACUAAAAAUGCAAAAUUAGCUGGGUGUGGUGGCACAUGCCCGUAAUCCCAGCUACUCGAGAGGCGAGGCAGGAGAAUCACUUGAACUCGGGAGGCAGAGGUUGUAGUGAGCCGAGAUUGUGCCAUUGCAUUCAAGCCUGGGCAACAAAAAUAAAACUGUCUCAAAAAAAAAAAUCAAAGUAUUAUUAUCACAUAAGUUGACAAGGAAGAAAAAAGAUGGGAGAGGACAGAGAAGGGGAGGAGAAAUUCUGAAUCUUUUAGCCAUUGAUAUUUACUGUCUAGUCAAGCAAACUUCUUAGAUUAAGUAGAAAGGGAUGCAGAGAGUUUGAGGCAGUUGCUGCUGACUCAGGUUAGGUGAAGUACACUAAUAAUUAGAAUAGGGUGGGAAGCCAGAAAAGACCUAAUUACAUCUGAUUCCAAAUGAGGCUCAUGUAGCCAAUGGGAAGCUUGCCAUUGCAACACACCCUGCUGGAAAGGUCAUCACUGAAUGCAAACUGCAGCAGGUCAGGAGUGUACUCUGAUAUUCAACUGAGGACUGACAGGUCUCCAAAAAAAGGACCUGCACCUUUGCUGACUGCUGAAUUCCCAAACGCAAGCUUGCUCUCCAAAUUCCAUGACGAGCAUAACGCUCCACCUCCCUCAAAGGCCUCCUUGCUGUUCUGUGCAGUUAUCUAUUAAAGGAAAGAUGACUUUUAAAAACAACAUUCUCUAGGUAGUAGGUGUGCAAGUAGGGGGACUUAAGUGAUCUGGGGAGUAAUGAUGGUGACGGAGAAGAUCAUAACAAGAUUAUAGAUAGGUUAGCAGAUCUGGAUUAUUGAACAGUAGUUUUUUAAGAAUACCUACGCCCCCAAAAUAGAGGUUAUGGAAGAAAAGAAAAUCAGACCUAAUGUUUCCAUUAAGAUUCUUAGUAGCCUUCUGAGCAAAGUUGUAUGUAAAAGAAAAAAAAAAAGAUUCUUAGUAGCUGAUGAAUUUUAGCCCAAGGAGAUGAUAGCAUAGUAAUUCAAAUCCCUUGUCCCGAUGACUACAAAUCAGGAUGAUUAAAGAAUGGAAUCUUAGCUCUCUGACAUCCCAGACAGCAGGCCUUGUCCCUAGACUUGCAGAUGGAGCAAGACAAGCACAGUGGAGAAAAAGAAAUGCCUUUAUAUUUAGGUUGUUUUCCACCCAUUAUUAAGGCAGUAAGGUUGAGGACCACAAGGUCACUCUUGGAUCCUCAUCAGGCCUUCUUCCUGCCAACUGCUUUCUGGGAGGGUCAGUGUGUAUUCCUGAAAUGACUCUGGAAUCAUCCACCCUCAGACCAUCUGUCCACAUAUCCCAGUAUCUACUGUAGCUGGCAGCAAUUUGCAUGCCCUCCGGAAUUUCUUGGGCUGGACCUCCAAAUGCCUGCUGCACUAUUUGGAAUGUUAUCCUCAUCUCACAGUCUCUUAUCUCCAACUGGGGAUUUCUCCCAUGGUGUUGACUGCAUUUACCUUGAGGGCUGACAUUGCCACAGCUGUGCAGAGGAGAUGGAGUCUCUGGAUGCAUGAAGCUGUCCCUUCAACACGGCAAAAUAAUUCCAGCAAACAACAGAAACCAAGGAGUGUCUUCCAUAUGGAGGCCAAUCAGAGGACACACGAGUCCUUAGGGCCCAGGCUAGUAUCAUUGUUUUAAAUAAUUUUGAUCAGGGUCAAGGCUAGUACCACGACCAAAUGGGGCAGUAAAAGACUGCCCAGGACUGGGGAGGAGGAGAGGUGAGAGGUAUAAAUACGUCUUGAAACCUCCAGACCCGGGCCAAUGAAAGACAGGUUUAACACCAUUUUAUGAUGGUGUGCAUGUGUUUAAACUACUUUUGAAAUUCCUCUGUGUUAAAUUAUCUGAAACUUUGACAUUACAGCAAGUAUAGGGUAUACAUUGCUAUGUAUUCUAACUGCUGUCUAUUAGAGAUACACAGUUUCUGGCAGCCUUUGACCCAUAUAGGUUGGCUAUCAUAAAACUGCACAGAAUCCUGUGAAAGGUAAGGACAUAUUUAUUAAACUCUCCUGCCAGGCUUUUCAACCCAGAACCCCACAUAGGGACACACACACAUCCCACUGUAGGACUUCACUGUUACCUGUGCUGAGCCCCUGUUUCUGCUGUGCUGAGAAAGGGAGAUGAGUGUUUAAAGCAGCUGCACUUACUUGAGCAUGCACAGAUUUUUGAGGGGGGCACAAAAAUUGGGAAACCAAACUUAGAAAAAGUGACCCUGCCAUCUGGAAAUCUUAGGUGGUAAGGCAGCACAAUUGAACUUGUACUGUUGGUAUCCUCAAGGCUGCUUCUUGGUUCCAGUCAUCCUGGAGAACCCAGGAGGGCAGGACCCUCACCUCCCAUAAACUUGAGAUGCCUAUGGUAGGCUGACUCCAUGGGGCCACUCCAUGAGAGAGGCCUGCACACAGCUGCAGAGGACCGUGGGUUGGACAACGAGGGUGAUUGUGAUAUACAUCAUGGGAGGAAGAGCCUGGUCUGGAAUCUGCACUCCAGCACCUCCUAGGUAUGUGAUCUUUCCCACUUGCCUCAAGCUUUGAGCCUCAGUUUUCUCACUUGAUACAAGGAGAAGAAUUGUCUAAAGUGACCCCAGGGGCUUUCUCUAGGUUGCUUGGGACUGGGUGGGAGUUUCCUAUCUCCUCUCUACAGGAUAAGCUACGUCUGAACCUAGCCCACGGCCUUAGCAGUUCUUCCCCUGACAAGAAGGUCCCUUCUGUCCUGUGGAAUCCAAGGGCCAGGCAGUUAGUACUUUCAGACAGUUGCUCUAAACAGCUGGCAAAUCCAGACUGCCUUGCACCACUGUUGAGUUUUUUUUAUUUGUAGGAUGUGGAAAAAGAAUGACAGGUGCAGUGGGGACCUCCAUUGCUAAAUAGACCCAUAGUGUGGCCCAGCAGCUCCCUGGACCCCGUGUGUCUCUCUGUGGGAGGAUGGAUGGGUUCAGGGACCUCCGUCUUCAUUUAUUUUGCAGGCCCUGGCUUGGUAAGUUCACCUUUCCCCCAAUCAAGCAUAUUCUUUAACACAUGCCUUAUGUCAUCAUGAAAUUUAUACUGAACCCUGGUAAUAGGGACCCAUCUUUUAUAACACCUUGUUUGCAGAAAUGGGGUUAUAACACCUUAAAGACUUGUAAAGAAAGCCAGGCACAGAGGCAACAGUGUGAAUAAGAGCACGGAGUUGUCCCUAGGCCUGGCCUAUUCAGGAAAUGUGGCUUUGGUGCUGGGUGCAUGGUGGGAGUGGGCCCUGAGGCUGCAGACGGACUGGGGUGAAGGAAUCAUUUUUCCCUUGAAAGUCACUGAGUGUCUGCAUCCCACUCUCAGCUUAGGAAUGACAGGUACAGCCUCCCCUGGCCCCAGCCUCAGGUCCCUAGGAGGUGGGCUGGAGGAGUAGGGAGCAGUUGUUAGGGAGUCGAAGACCAAUGAUAAUGAGGUCCCCAGUGGAGCCCUGAAUGAAGGAUUGACGAGAAGCAUCCUUCAGGAGCAUGAACAGGAUUCUGUGACUAUUACAUAAUGGGGGGAGUGAAAAGAAAAAGCAAAUGUGCCGGAUACACAUCACUUUUUUUCCUUUCCUUUUCCUCAGCAGAUAGAGAUACCCAAGAGCCAGAGGGGCCUCUCUCUGGGGAAAGAGCUGACUAGCUAGUGUUUCAAGGCCAAGAUGCUGGCUUCACACCUUGGGCGCUGGACGUGCCCCUGAGCCCUUUCAUCUGGCUUGGCUGAACCUUCCCUCUCUGCCCACCUGUCCAUACCUGUGUGUUGGGUCCUGACUUACACCCUUGCCCUCCUUUUUAAAAGAGAAAAGAUGGCCAGGCGUGGUGGUCCACACCUGUAAUCCUAGCACUUUGGGAGGCCGAGGCGGGCAGAUCAUGAGGUCAGAAGUUUGAGUCCAGUCUGGUCAAUGUGGUGAAACCCCAUCUCUAUUAAAAAUACAGCUGGGCAUGGUGGUGGGUUCCUGUAAUCCCAGCUACUGGGGACGCUGAGGCAGGAGAAUCGCUUGAUCCCAGGAGACAGAGGUUGUGCCACUGAACUCCAGCCUGGGCAACAGAGCAAAACUCCAUCUCAAAAAAUAAAGAAUAAUAAUUUUUAAA
Callithrix jacchus (white-tufted-ear marmoset) is the source of this 6272-nucleotide long non-coding RNA. RefSeq lists it as uncharacterized. The record is from RefSeq and is a predicted model, not a curated record. NCBI's taxonomy places the organism in Eukaryota, Metazoa, Chordata, Mammalia, Primates, Cebidae.